UGUUGAUCCCAUGUUGAUCCCGUGUUGAUCCCAUGUUGAUUUGCUGCUCCUCCCGUGUUCAUCCCAUGUUGAUCCCGUGUUGAUCCCAUGUCCAUCCUGUGUCCAUCCCAUGUUGAUCCCGUGUUGAUCCCGUGUUGCUUUGCUGCUCUACUCUUGUCCAUCCCAUGUUCAUCCCAUGUUGAUUCACUGCUGCGCUCAUCUCAAUCCCCUGUUAAUCCCAUGUUAAUCCCAUGUUCAUCCCGUGUCCGUCCCAUGUUGGCUGCCUGCCGGUCACGUGACCAUCCCAUGUCCGUCCCGUGUUGGCUGCCUACCGGUCACGUGACCAUCCCAC
Molecule: long non-coding RNA, 331 nt
Filed under: Numida meleagris (helmeted guineafowl)
Lineage: Eukaryota; Metazoa; Chordata; Aves; Galliformes; Numididae
Description: lncRNA (ENSNMEG00000002337.1)
Source: RNAcentral